Molecule: ribosomal RNA, 888 nt
Filed under: Enterococcus faecalis
Lineage: Bacteria; Bacillati; Bacillota; Bacilli; Lactobacillales; Enterococcaceae
Description: partial 23S ribosomal RNA
Rfam family: Bacterial large subunit ribosomal RNA
Source: RNAcentral
ACACGGUGGAUGCCCUGGCAGUCAGAGGCGAUGAAGGACGUGCUAAUCUGCGAUAAGCGUCGGUAAGGUGAUAUGAACCGUUAUAACCGGCGAUUUCCGAAUGGGGAAACCCAGUGUGUUUCGACACACUAUCAUUAACUGAAUCCAUAGGUUAAUGAGGCGAACCGGGGGAACUGAAACAUCUAAGUACCCCGAGGAAAAGAAAUCAACCGAGAUUCCCCCAGUAGCGGCGAGCGAACGGGGAGCAGCCCAGAGCCUGAAUCAGUGUGUGUGUUAGUGGAAGCGUCUGGAAAGGCGCGCGAUACAGGGUGACAGCCCCGUACACAAAAAUGCACAUGCUGUGAGCUCGAUGAGUAGGGCGGGACACGUGGUAUCCUGUCUGAAUAUGGGGGGACCAUCCUCCAAGGCUAAAUACUCCUGACUGACCGAUAGUGAACCAGUACCGUGAGGGAAAGGCGAAAAGAACCCCGGCGAGGGGAGUGAAAAAGAACCUGAAACCGUGUACGUACAAGCAGUGGGAGCACGCUUAGGCGUGUGACUGCGUACCUUUUGUAUAAUGGGUCAGCGACUUAUAUUCUGUAGCAAGGUUAACCGAAUAGGGGAGCCGAAGGGAAACCGAGUCUUAACUGGGCGUUAAGUUGCAGGGUAUAGACCCGAAACCCGGUGAUCUAGCCAUGGGCAGGUUGAAGGUUGGGUAACACUAACUGGAGGACCGAACCGACUAAUCUUGAAAAAUUAGCGGAUGACUUGUGGCUGGGGGUGAAAGGCCAAUCAAACCGGGAGAUAGCUGGUUCUCCCCGAAAGCUAUUUAGGUAGCGCCUCGUGAAUUCAUCUCCGGGGGUAGAGCACUGUUUCGGCAAGGGGGUCAUCCCGACUUACCAACCCGAU